UUCUCGAUAUUCCUAUAUUUUUUAUAUACAACUAUAAAAAUUAGUAACUGUUAAUUGCUAAAAUAUUUAUAAGUAUAUGUGUGGGCCGAUCACUAGAUAUUGACUAUUUGUCAAUGGGCUUGAACCCAUUACCAUGGCAGGCUGAUUAAUGAACCGCCCUAGUGUGCUAACCUAACUUGAGCUAACUCAUCAUCAAAAAUUGGCUGCCUUUUUCAAUCAGUUUCGGCAGCCUAUUUUCUUGGGCUUAAGCCCAUCAUCCCAGCCAAAGUUGAGCCGCCCCAAACUGUUAUCAUAUAUGUAUACCUAUCGUGUUGUUGUUUAUCUUAAUUUCAAAAACUCUAAACCAACCCUACCCCCAUCAAUUCUGCGUACGGAAGUAGCAACCCCCCCCCCCCUCGUGAUAGCAUCUCGAUUGGUCGAAGUUUGGAUUGGAUUGAUCAAACUGUGAACACAUACUUAAAUCUUACCGAGCAAACCAAAGGUCGUUAGGUAUUUUGGAUCUGGGAACUUGCUGUCUGAAGUAGCUGGAGUGGUCAUGGGUCGACAAGAAGGAUUUAUGCGAUUGAUUUCAUAAAACUAUAUUUGAAUUUCGAAACAGUUUAACUUCGUUUACUAUUUGCUUCCGCUGAACUUAUCGGUUUUCGUUUAAACUUAUUGAAGAUGUUUUUAUUAAUAAUGGGGAUUUUAAUUAUAACUUGUAUGGGUUCAAUGUAAUU
Molecule: long non-coding RNA, 716 nt
Organism: Helianthus annuus (common sunflower)
Lineage: Eukaryota; Viridiplantae; Streptophyta; Magnoliopsida; Asterales; Asteraceae
Exons: 3
Source: RefSeq, a predicted model, not a curated record